Molecule: ribosomal RNA, 455 nt
Filed under: Dendropsophus cf. stingi
Lineage: Eukaryota; Metazoa; Chordata; Amphibia; Anura; Hylidae
Description: partial 16S ribosomal RNA
Rfam family: Bacterial large subunit ribosomal RNA
Source: RNAcentral
CGCCUCUUGCAAUCCAUAAGAGGUCCAGCCUGCCCAGUGAUAAAAUUCAACGGCCGCGGUAUCCUAACCGUGCGAAGGUAGCGUAAUCACUUGUUCUUUAAAUGAGGACUAGUAUGAAUGGCACCACGAAGGUUAUACUGUCUCCUCUUUCUAAUCAAUGAAACUGAUCCCCCCGUGAAGAAGCGGGGAUAAAAUUAUAAGACGAGAAGACCCUAUGGAGCUUUAAACUAAUGCAACACUAGCAUUAAUACCACUAUAUUCCAGAAUUAUAAAAACCAUUUCAGCUAGCAUGAUUGCUAGUUUUAGGUUGGGGUGACCAUGGAGCAUAAAAUAACCUCCACGCAGAACGGGACCAUUCCUGAGCCAAAAGCUACGACUUUAAGCACUAAUAAAUUAACAUUAAUUGACCCAAUAUAUUGAUCAACGAACCAAGUUACCCUAGGGAUAACAGCGCA